This 253-nucleotide ribosomal RNA is filed under the name uncultured bacterium. RNAcentral describes it as "partial 16S ribosomal RNA". It matches the Rfam family "Archaeal small subunit ribosomal RNA", at positions 474 to 727 of the family's 1478-position model. The record is from RNAcentral.
UACCAGCACCCCGAGUGGUCGGGACGAUUAUUGGGCCUAAAGCAUCCGUAGCCGGCCUUACAAGUCCUCCGUUAAAUCCAGCUGCUCAACAGAUGGGCUGCGGGAGAUACUACAGGGCUAGGAGGCGGGAGAGGCAAGCGGUACUUUAUGGGUAGGGGUAAAAUCCGCUGAUCCAUAGAAGACCACCAGUGGCGAAGGCGGCUUGCCAGAACGCGCUCGACGGUGAGGGAUGAAAGCUGGGGGAGCAAACCGG